Molecule: RNA transcript, 1179 nt
Organism: Corticium candelabrum
Lineage: Eukaryota; Metazoa; Porifera; Homoscleromorpha; Homosclerophorida; Plakinidae
Gene name: 12S rRNA N4-methylcytidine methyltransferase-like
Exons: 10
Source: RefSeq, a predicted model, not a curated record
GUAGGCCUCCGCGUUUGCGACUUCGUGUGAUAUGGUCAAGGCUACUUUCCGUACACCACCAGCCUGUUUUAUUGAAAGAGAUAACGAAUGUUUUAAUUCAAGAGGUGGCGUCAUCUCAAUUGGUUCGAGUUGUAGAUGCAACUGUUGGUGGUUGUGGACAUACAACAAGAAUUCUAGGCAGACUCAAAUUAAAAGUGUUCCAGAUGAAUUGAGGCAGAACUGGCUAAACAGUUACAUGUAUGGAAUAGACAGAGAUCCGGUUGCUAUUGGUAUUGCCAGUCAGAUGGCUGAGAGUCAAGAGUAUAAGAACAGACUGUUUCCAGUGAUUGGAAGGUUUAGUAAUAUGCAGCCACUGUUGAAAUCAGCAGAUGUUGGUUUGAUGAUCCAAGUCGUGGAUUUUCUCAGUCAAGCUGGACCUUUAGACAUGAGGAUGGACCGCGGUGCACCAUUUUGUCAAGCUAACACAGCAGCAGAUAUUGUCAAUCAGGCCACUGUCGAUGACCUCUCACUAAUACUAAUGCAGUUUGAAGAGGAAAGAAAGGCAAAAGUGAUUGCUAGAGAAAUCAACAAAUUGCGACAGAAACAAGCCAUAACACAAACUGAUCAGUUGGCUUGUAUUGUAAAAGAAUCAGUUGGUAGAAAAUAUGCUCACACAAGAAGAGACAAAUUAGCUCGGCCUGCACAUCCUGCCACAAAGACAUUUCAAGCGUUUCGAAUAUAUGUCAACAAUGAACUCUUUGAGUUGCAACAAGGGCUGAACGCAGCAAGUGUGAUGCUUAGACAGGGCGGACUGCUUGCUCUCAUAUCUUUCCAUUCAUUAGAAGACAGAAUAGUUAAACGGUUCCUGCAAGGAGAUCCAGAUUUGUAUACAAAAAGAUCAAGUCAGUAUUAUAAACUGCUGAGAGGUAAUGUGCCAUGCAGAUUUAAAGGAGAGUUCUGAAAUGGCAAAACAGCCACUAUUUCGUCUUCUUAACAGAAAAGUUGGUUGGCAUGCAAAACAUUAAGGCAAAACUGCAUGGUCAUGUGCUAUACCUUUUAUGAAUGGUGAUCGUUCCUUCUCUUGAAGAAAUCCACCUCAAUCCUCAGUCUCGUUCAGCUCAUCUUCGUAUAGCAAAAAAUCGACAACACAUCAUAUGUGUGUCACAGGCAGCACAACACACACUGUACAGGAAUGAGAAA